Molecule: transfer RNA, 69 nt
Filed under: Ictidomys tridecemlineatus (thirteen-lined ground squirrel)
Lineage: Eukaryota; Metazoa; Chordata; Mammalia; Rodentia; Sciuridae
Description: Spermophilus tridecemlineatus (thirteen-lined ground squirrel) tRNA
Rfam family: tRNA
About the family: Transfer RNA (tRNA) molecules are approximately 80 nucleotides in length.
Source: Rfam by way of RNAcentral
GGAUUUGUGGCUCAGUGGUAGAGCACUUGCCUGGCAUGUGUGAGGCCCUGAGUUCGAUCCCCAGCACCA